RNAcentral lists this long non-coding RNA (781 nucleotides) under Physcomitrium patens. RNAcentral's name for it is "long non-coding RNA (PPAT_LNC004559)". The record is from RNAcentral. Lineage: Eukaryota; Viridiplantae; Streptophyta; Bryopsida; Funariales; Funariaceae.
GUGUCUCGAAGAAGGGUGAACUCCACUUACGAGGAUAUUCUGACAGUAUGCGUGAAUACUUGGCAGUACGUCAAAAACCCAUGAUUCGUCAGCAUUGAUGACGAAUCUGAUAACCUGAUCACCCAAGGCUUGUUUAAAUUCCAAUAGACAAAAAGUUCGAGUAUUGUACAUUAGACUUGUUGACAUUCAUCUGGGGAGGCAGGAGAGGCGUUGCUAUAAACCAAGUGACCUGAAUUUGUAAAAUAAUCAUUCAGACUGCGAUAUCUGCUGGAUUUUGCUACUGAAUAAGAUGCUUUCCCAUGUUUUCUCUGGUAUGCAGCGUUCUACACACCGCCUGCUCAUCCUACCGCAUCCAAUCAAGGAACUCCCUGCAAACGUGACCUGCUGAAUCCGAACGACAUUGUAUGACUAACCUUAUACCAUCUCCAUCUCCUGCCUGCAGUAACUGGGAAAGGAAGGGAAUGAUCUACUAGUUUUCUUGCUUUGAAUGAGCCCACCCGGAGAGGAAGAUUGAAAUGUCUUGCCGCUUGUGUUGCUGCUCCAGUGCUACCAGCUGGGAUAACAAGAAUCUCAACAGCCAGUCAAGUUGACCCGUUUUAUGCGCGCGGUGCAGGAGCUGAACAACGCAAACCCACUUAACACUUUACCCACAACCCAAACCACGACCACUGCGAGCCACACAUGAAACAACCUGCGCUGUUACCGCUGCUUCUUCUUCACAAGGCCACUCCUGCAAUAAGUUCCGUCUCCACAGCCUGAGCCUGACAGGCUUGGCCAUGAG